GACGAACGCUGGCGGCGUGCUUAACACAUGCAAGUCGAACGGAAAGGCCCUGCUUUUGUGGGGUGCUCGAGUGGCGAACGGGUGAGUAACACGUGAGUAACCUGCCCUUGACUUUGGGAUAACUUCAGGAAACUGGGGCUAAUACCGGAUAGGAGCUCCUGCUGCGUGGUGGGGGUUGGAAAGUUUCGGCGGUUGGGGAUGGACUCGCGGCUUAUCAGCUUGUUGGUGGGGUAGUGGCUUACCAAGGCUUUGACGGGUAGCCGGCCUGAGAGGGUGACCGGCCACAAUGGGACUGAGAGACGGCCCAGACGGCUACGGGAGGCAGCAGUGGGGAAUAUUGCACAAUGGGCGGAAGCCUGAGGCAGCAACGCCGCGUGCGGGAUGACGGCCUUCGGGUUGUAAACCGAUUUCGCCUGUGACGAAGAGUGAGUGACGGUAAUGGGUAAAGAAGCACCGGCUAACUACGUG
Molecule: ribosomal RNA, 468 nt
Filed under: uncultured bacterium
Lineage: Bacteria
Description: partial 16S ribosomal RNA
Rfam family: Bacterial small subunit ribosomal RNA
Source: RNAcentral